AAAUAAUAAUAGAAUUCUUAAACUACCUAAUACUAAAAAUCUAAAUCUUAAUUUUAAAAUUAAAAAUUUAAUAAAAAUAAUUCCUAAAUUAAAAUUUCCUUGACUGCAUCAUUCUCUCCUGAUUAGAGAAAACAUGACAUUGAGUUUUGUAGCGUUGAAGAAUCAGCAACUGAAUUGGGAGAACAAUCAAAUCUAUCUUCUAGGAUGGUAGCAAUAAGAGCGAAACAAAGAACUCCAUUUUUUCCUUCACAUCCCUGGAAACAUCUAAACUUGUUAAAUUAGUCACAACUAUAGUUGAAAGGCUUUUCAUUCCACUAGGAACAAAAGAAUUAGUCAAUAUCUUCAAUUUCCAUUGUUGUCUCUAUGGCUUGAUUUUCCUUUUUCCCUAAAAUAGAUGCCUCAAGAUUUUCUUGCUCAUUCUCAGCAGCUUCUUUCUCUAGAAUAGGUUUAUCAAAAUUUUCCAACUCGAUCUUAUCAUAUUGGAUUUUAACAUGUGAAGGAUCAAUAAUCAAAACUUCAGAUUCUCUAGGUUGCCCUUCUUGUUCUUUAUUAUGAAAUUCUUGCCUUGCAUCCUUUUAGAGUUAUAACUACCUCUUCAAGAACUCCUGAUAUCACAUCCAGCUCUGCAUUUAGCCUAGCCAAAGUCCCAAGAUGCGUCUCACCUUUUUCUUGAAAUCGAAUAUUUCCUAAUAGUUGACUUAUUGAUGGUUGAAUAAAGAAGUUUUCCAAUAUGCUUGCAGAAACAUAUGGUCCUCCUUCCAUGCUUGUAAGUUUUCUCUUCUUAACUCAUAGUUGAAUCAUAUAUUCCUUCUUCCAUACUUCUAGUUCUUUCCCUAACUCACAAAAGUUGUUUGAUAGUUUGAUAUUCAUAAUAUAAGUCAGAGGAAAAUAUUUAGCACCACCAUAUACAUCCCUCAAAUAAAAUAUUUCAUCUAGUUGUACCUCGUAGUCAUUGAUUUUAACUAGUAAUCUUUGAAUUUCAGCUCACAUAGAAUCUCAAAUGAAAACACAAUUGAAAGCUCUUACCAGCUUAAAUAUUUGUUUCUAUCCAAAAUGGAUGUCAAAAUUGAAACCAGCAUGUCAAAAUUAGCUGAGUAAGGGUUCUGCCAAAAAUUGUUGGCGUAGCAGAAGUUGAGUGGUGUUGGCGCGGCAGAUGAAGUGGCCAGUAUGUGGCAACUGACGUGGCAAUAAGCUGGAGGUUGAUCAGGUGAUCAUGGGCUCACAGUAGCAAUGUCAGCUAGUCUAGGUUUACAGGCGAAUAUUCAAAUGAAUCUUGCUGUAGGGACGUUGGACAUGAGUUCAGACAGAAGGCAUGUGCUGAUCGGCAGCCCACAAGACAAAGAGAAGGUCCAAACAUCAGAUUUUGUUCAAUCCCAUCAGGUUAUGAGUCAGGUUGAAACCUAACUCGAUUGGAACUCUCUCUAGGCAACCUCUAGCGGCCAAACUGGCACCAAGGGUGUCUCCUAGUGCCGAGCUAACAUUUGGCAAUGGAGUUGCAAUGAUUUGAUGAAGCAAUGGUGGCGGAUUUUCAAGGACAUUGGCAAGGGUUUUGUCUUGCAAGAAACCAGCAGGAAAAACACAAAGCUCGGCAAGGAAAACCAAUAAAAAAAUGCAAGAAAUCUAAGAAAAGCUAAAGGAAUUUUCCACAGAUAAUUGGACGUCUUACUUUGAUAGCAAAUUAAUGUAGAACCAAUAAAUAAGUCAAAGGGCUUGUGAAAAAAUUCUCUUUUUUUUAUUAAUUGUCAACAUCAAUCAUCAAAUUGUCAAUAAUAAAGUCUAAAGACACCUAGAGGACAUAGGUAUUUAUAAUAUAAUAACUAAUCCUACUAGUACUAGGAUUAAGAACCCCAAAAUAAGAAAAUACUAAACAAAUACUAAUUGGGAAUCCCAAAUCAACUUAAACUUCCUAAAU
Molecule: unclassified non-coding RNA, 1912 nt
Filed under: Hevea brasiliensis (rubber tree)
Lineage: Eukaryota; Viridiplantae; Streptophyta; Magnoliopsida; Malpighiales; Euphorbiaceae
Source: RNAcentral